CCCAGCUGUAAAGAGCAAGGGUCACUGGGGAACCCUAUGUCGUCCCAGAAGGAGCUCCCUUGUGUCAGAGGGCUGUCUCCAAACAGCCCUUUAUAUUAUUUACUCUGAAUAUACGUAUACACACAUCUGUGGUGUUCAUCACUGACAGAAGACAAGCUUCUAGAAAGAGCGGCUGCUUCAUCAUUUUUUUGUGUGUCCCUAGUACCUCGUCCAGUGCCUGGCACAUAGUAGAGGUGCUUAAUAAAUGCUUACUGACUGGAUGUUCUGGUGAAGAAGACAAAUUCGGAUUAAUCUGAGGAAACCUGCUCUACCAGAAAACUGAACAGAGCAAUGCCUUCUACCUUCUCGAAGGAGGAAUGGACCGCAGGUGGGGAAUAAGGUCUGUCCUCUGAGGCCAAGCCUCCAAAUACCUGAAGACUUUUGGGAUAUCCCUAAAGUCAAAGAGAGGCUGUAAGGAUGAAUGGAUUCAAAGCUUCCAGGUUUUCGAUAAACAUCAUCUGCUACACAAGGGGCAUUCCUAGCAUCCAGGACUGAGGAGAUGAUCGCCCCACUGUGCCCUGACCUGGUCAGACUGUAGCAAGAGCAGUAUGGACAAUUCUGAGAAUAUCUGAGGAAGGACAGGAAUGAGCUGGAGAGAGUCCAGAGCGUCUCCUUCGCUUUACCUUUUCCAUCCAGGUUACACACGCAUCUAGAGUUUCCGGUGCUCUACGGUGAGACGUUCUAGACCUCAUCUCCCCCAGUCAGACCUCCAGUGUUAAGGGCACUUUCCAUGUUAGUGCUUGGUGAGUGCUCACAUGAGGAGUCUGUCACGCCGAGGACUUGGAACACUUUGCUGCUGUGGCCAUUUGCUUCUGGGUCUAAUGUAACUAAGCUGUUUCACUGGUACCAAAGAGCUUUGCAGCAUAUUUUGAGAUGUGGCACUUACUCAGCCCUUUUCCUUUCCCUUCUCUUAUUCCAUUAUUUCCUUUAACACUCUGGACCUUUUGUGCCUCUGGAGAAUUUCGCUGUAAUAUCAUACCAUUCUAUAAGCUUAUACUUUGGUAGUUUGAUUGGAAUGGUACGGAAUCUGCAAAUUAAUCUAAGUAUUGCUGUCACUUUUAAUCAGAUGAGCACAACCCUGCCAUGAGCAAUUAAUUUCUCUCCUAUUAUUUAAGUCUGUCUUUGUUUCUAUAAAGAAUGUUUCGUGGCUGUAUUUAUACUAUUCCUGUGAGAGUCUUGGUAAGCAAUUUUGAAUGGAAUGUCUUUUUUUUUUUAAUCUCUCUGUUGGGAGGCUGAUUAAUGGCCAUGGACUUCCAACCCCUUCUCUUUUUAGGCCUCCCAUGACUAAACUGAAAGCACUUUAAGGUCGGGGCCUAUUUUUCAACCUGUUUUUAUAUCCUUUACAUUGCCUCCAUUACAGGCACAGCAGACAUUUAACACAUGCUUGCCCUUUUUUCUUUCCUUCCACAUGAGUAUAUUCUAAGAGGACAUUAAAGUUCACAUGGAUUUAAGAUGGAGACAAAGUACCCCAAACUGUCCACUCCCCAAGGGGUUUCUCUUGUGAUUUCUUUCUCGGCUUGGUCUGUACCCUGAUCUCCUAGAUCAGGUUCUUAUCUUUACAAUGAAGGAUGCUAGCUGCCUAUUGCUUCUAGAAUCAAAUACAGACCUUCCUGUUUGACACGAAAACCCAGUCCCAACCUAAGCAAGUGGCUUAAGUAACCAUGACUGCCUCUUUCUGCACUCUCUAGUCCAGGCCGCCACUUGCUGUGAUUUCUCACACCUCCAUCCUUCACCUGGAUCUCCUCUGAAAGGCACGCUGUCCUUCCCUCUGACUCACAAAAUGCCUAGCAGCCUUCAAGGCCACUUCCUGCAGGAGGCAUAUCCUGAUCCCCCUAGUCAUGGGGACCUACUUGUAUUGGGAAUCAAGAUGGGCUCUUAGCACUUACUCAACCAAGUGCCCUUGAAGAGUG
Long non-coding RNA from Trichosurus vulpecula (common brushtail), 1949 nucleotides. RefSeq lists it as uncharacterized. The transcript is spliced from 3 exons. Lineage: Eukaryota; Metazoa; Chordata; Mammalia; Diprotodontia; Phalangeridae. The record is from RefSeq and is a predicted model, not a curated record.